GUCCUUCUGUUUAUAAUAAAAGGUCUAGCCUGCCCACUGAGUAUUUGAAUGGCUGCGGUAUCCUGACCGUGCUAAGGUAGCAUAAUCAUUAGUUCUUUAAUUGAGAGCUGGAAUGAAAGGUUGGACGAGAAAGUAACUGUCUCUAUUUAAUUUUCAUAGAAUUUUAUCUUUAAGUAAAAAAGCUUAAAUUUUUUAAGAAGACGAGAAGACCCUAUAGAGUUUUAUAUAAAAUUUUAUUUAUAAGUUUAUGGAAUUAAAAUGUGAAAUUUUAUUUUAUAUUUGGUUGGGGUGACUGAAAAAUUAAUUUAACUUUUUCUUAUUUUUACACUAAUGAGUGAAUUUUUGAUCCAAUUUUUGAUUAUAAGAUAAAAUUACCUUAGGGAUAACAGCGUAAUUUUUCUUGAGAGUUCUAAUCGAAAGAAGAGUUUGCGACCUCGAUGUUGGAUUAAAAUAAAUUUUUGGUGUAGAAGCUAAAAGUUUAGGUCUGUUCGACCUUUAAAAUUU
This 504-nucleotide ribosomal RNA is filed under the name Xystrocera globosa. RNAcentral's name for it is "partial 16S ribosomal RNA". It matches the Rfam family "Bacterial large subunit ribosomal RNA", at positions 1819 to 2596 of the family's 2925-position model. The record is from RNAcentral. Lineage: Eukaryota; Metazoa; Arthropoda; Insecta; Coleoptera; Cerambycidae.